GAGAAAUUUGAAUUUCUUUUUUAAUAUUUUAACAUUCUCUCAGCUUGUAUCAUGUGCUCAUUCUUCUUUUUGGUUGAUGAUCUUUUUGAUUUGUAAGAGUUAUUUUUUACAAAGUAAGUUGCAUAUUUUUAUAAGUUGUUGUUAUGGUUUGUAUGUAGUUUGUCUCUGCCAAAGCUAAUGUUGAAAUUUAGUUGCCAAUGUAAUGGUCUUGGGAGGUGGGGCAUUUUAGAAGAUAGUUAGGUCAUUAAGAUGGGUUAAUGUCUUUCUCACAAAACUGGGUUAGUUCUUGCAAUAUUGGAUUCGUUCCCUUGAGAGUAGCUUGUUAUAAAGCUAGGUUGCCUUUGUGUUCUCUUUUGCACAGGCUCCCAGCCACGUGAUCUAUCCGCCAUAUUACUAUGCAGCAUGAGACUAUCGCCAGAUGCAGCUACCCAGUAUGGAAACUUCUCAGUCUCCAGAACUGUUAGAAGAUGAGGACUCCAGCACAGCAUCUGCUCUCUCUGAAGAGGUCUACAGGAACAUUCUUCUGAAAUCUUUUCUCUGUUCCAUGUUUACAUUCCUGAAUUUGUUGAGUGUUUCAAGAAAAUAAAACAGGUCAUUGGAGUCAUUUUCUUUGUAAUUUUGUAUGCACUGACAGAGGUGAUCCAACUUAUACUCUCUGGUAUCCUGAUAGCUAUCAAAAAGGGUUACAUUCUAAAUUGCUAGUUCUUAUCAUUCUGUUGCCAGCAGUUCUAAAUCCUGACUACAAAUGAGAAUCACCAGCAAAGCUUUUUAAAAGUGUGGAUGCCUGCUACUCCUUUUCUCAGACUGAAAUUCUGAUUUAAUUGGCCUGUUGAAUAUUUGUAUUAUUUUAAAAGCUCAAAUAAUGAUUUUAAUGUGCAACAAGGGCUGAGAGCAACUAAUACAAACAAAUGGUGACUUAUUGCUUCAGACAACAUCUUUGGAUGGAAUAGUUUGUACUAAAAAUUUUCUCUGUGUUUAUAGACUCAGCCUAAUCACUCUAAAAACUGUUCCUAAUAAUAAAUUAGUUCAAAAAAUACACCCCGAGUAUUCAUAAGAACUCAUUGUGACUAUUUAUAGAAGGAUUCAUUUUUGCACCAAAUUUUAACUCAUUUGGUUGAUAUAUUUUAAACUAUCUUCAUUUAAACAAAGUUGAAAUCAUGCUUUAGUUGUCCAUCAAUUUUGUGUGUGUGUGUGUGUAUACCUAUUAGUGUUCCCAUAUAUGAAUAUUUCUUCUCUGUUGAAUAGCUAAUGCAUAUAAAUUUUCUUAUGAUUCUUAUCCACUUUUAGCUUUAUAGAAAAGAAAUCAGGAAGAGGGGAAAAGCUGAGGAAAAUAAACAAUCAUUUCUCUUGGGGGAAAAAAGGCAAUUUCAUCUGAAGAAAACUAACACAUGAAAUAAUUGAAAAAAGCACUUUUCCAGCUUUGCGCAGUGGCAGUAUCGUAGCCAAUGAGGUUUAUCCGAGGCGCGAUUAUUGCUAAUUGAAAAAAGCACUUUUCCAUCAAUUCUGUCACGUUUAAGAUGAAUUUUCCAAAGGGAGUAAGACGGUCUCCUGACAUUCUUAUUCCAGGAAGUCUUUCAGAUUUUCCACAAAGUCUUUCCUACAUUUAAAAUUAAAUGGUUCCCAUGUACAGAGCUGAGACUGGUUGCCUAGUAUUAUCCCACCUUAAGUGCCAAGUGCCUUUAAUGUCCAAUUUUAACUUUAGGAGGAAAUAAAAUACAUUGAUUACUUUUCCCAGCAGGCUUGAUAACUCUCGAACAUCAUUAAAAUGGAAAAAUAAGUUUAAUAAGCCUGUUUCUCUGCUCCCUGGAGCGAAAAACUUCAAAAUUUUAUCCCUCAAAUUCUACAUUUAGGGAUUUAUUCUACAGAUGUUAUCAGGCUUAUAAACAAGUGUGUGUGUGUGUGUGUGUGCUUGUGCGCACGCAUGAGCGUGCAUGCAGAUGUGUGGGUGCAUGCAGACAUGCAUGCAUGUGUGUGCCGACAUACAAACUGAUUUACUAAAACAUUUUCAGAAUAACAAAGAAUGUGAAACAAACUAAAUGUCAGUGAGAAAACAGUGAAAUGAGUGAUAGUAAAACUGUUAAACACAUUGACAUUAAUCUAUGUAUACUGAGAAGGAAAAGUUUCUUAGACACAUUA
Molecule: long non-coding RNA, 2136 nt
Organism: Callithrix jacchus (white-tufted-ear marmoset)
Lineage: Eukaryota; Metazoa; Chordata; Mammalia; Primates; Cebidae
Source: Ensembl